Molecule: ribosomal RNA, 497 nt
Filed under: uncultured bacterium
Lineage: Bacteria
Description: partial 16S ribosomal RNA
Rfam family: Bacterial small subunit ribosomal RNA
Source: RNAcentral
GAUGAACGCUGGCGGCGUGCCUAAUACAUGCAAGUCGAGCGGACAGACGAUGAUCGUGGGCCUCUGGCGUGGGCGGCGGGCGGGUGAGUAGCGCGUGGUUAGCCUAGCUAUAAGACUGGGGUAACUGCGGGAAGCCGUAGCUAAUACCGGGUAAUAUAUUGAACCGGAUGGUUCGAUAGUUAUAUAGGUUUUGGCUGUGACUUCUAGAUAGCACCGCGCCGCAUGAGCUAUUUGGUAAGGUAACGGCUUACCAAGGCAACGAUGCGUAGCCGACCUGAGAGGGUGAUCGGCCACACUGGAACUGAGACACGGUCCAGACUCCGACGGGAGGCAGCAGUAGGGAAUCUUCCGCAAUGGGCGAAAGCCUGACGGAGCAACGCCGCGUGAGUGAUGAAGGUCUUCGGAUCGUAAAACUCUGUUAUUAGGGAAGAACAAAUGUGUAAGUAACUAUGCACGUCUUGACGGUACCUAAUCAGAAAGCCACGGCUAACUACGUG